RNAcentral lists this transfer RNA (76 nucleotides) under Vibrio alginolyticus. RNAcentral's name for it is "tRNA-Gly". It matches the Rfam family "tRNA". From Rfam's summary of the family: Transfer RNA (tRNA) molecules are approximately 80 nucleotides in length. The record is from RNAcentral. RNAcentral also lists the same sequence under 5 other names. Lineage: Bacteria; Pseudomonadati; Pseudomonadota; Gammaproteobacteria; Vibrionales; Vibrionaceae.
GCGAUACUAGCUCAGUUGGUAGAGCGCAACCUUGCCAAGGUUGAGGUCACGAGUUCGAACCUCGUGUGUCGCUCCA